UAUCAUGUUUGUAAGUCUUCUGUU
This 24-nucleotide non-coding RNA is filed under the name Arabidopsis thaliana (thale cress). The record is from RNAcentral. Lineage: Eukaryota; Viridiplantae; Streptophyta; Magnoliopsida; Brassicales; Brassicaceae.